AUACUUUUAUCUUUAAAUCACACACAUUCCGACACAUAUUCCGGGGUGCUGGGCAGAAGCCUAGUCGGAGUUAUGGGGGAUGUGGAGGCCUAAC
Molecule: non-coding RNA, 94 nt
Organism: Vibrio sinaloensis
Lineage: Bacteria; Pseudomonadati; Pseudomonadota; Gammaproteobacteria; Vibrionales; Vibrionaceae
Source: Rfam